UACUAGUUAUACUCUGUUUAUCAUUCUCAUACAAAUACAAUGGACCCAACCUCAACAGGGACCAAUAUUUUUAAUUCCUCUACCACUACCACAUAUUUUUUUUUUAUUUUUUCUUAAUUACAUAUCUCCCAAUUUCUUGGCAUUUAAGGCCUUAGCCCCCUGAAGAACUCUUCAUCCCACAUAACAAACUUCAAAACUUUUCCAAAAGUCUUUUAACAUUUGUUUGGCUAGCUUUAGCAUAAGUAGACAAAUCAAUGGCUGCAAAUUCGUUCUCGAUUGGGUGCUCAAAGCUAAGGUCAUGGCAGCGGUGUACAAAACAUAUUCGUCAGCAAAGAGCAAGACUUUAUAUUAUAUGGAGAUGUACUGUUCUUCUCCUGAACUGGCAUGACUGAAUUGUAGCUGAUCUAUAUAUAUAUAUAUAUAUAAAUGGUGAACUUUUUGUAUAGUUUCGAGCCAGAUAGUGGUAUGUGAAUUAGAGACUGAGGUGUGGUACCAAAAGACUCGCCCGGCAGGCAGUACUGGAGAAGUAGAUCGAUCAGUAUUGAGUUUUGUUGGCGCAACGCUGCUUAAAGUAAAGAACUGAUGAUGAUCUUAAAGGUAUAUAUGUAUAUAUAUAUAUAUAUAUAUAUAUAUAUAUAUAUAUAUAUAUAUAUUACCNNNNNNNNNNNNNNNNNNNNNNNNNNNNNNNNNNNNNNNNNNNNNNNNNNNNNNNNNNNNNNNNNNNNNNNNNNNNNNNNNNNNNNNNNNNNNNNNNNNNUUGUUGAAUACUAUCUAGUUUCUUGUUAAUUUUGAGUCAAAAACUAGUAAUUCACAUUCAGAAAAGUUUGUAUCACUACUCUAAUACUGCAUCUCAUCAUUUCCAAUAUUUACAUAUUUUGAAUAUUGUGUUAUUUUAUUCUAUUAAAUAAAAAAUGAAUCUUUUGGUAUAUAUAAUAAUUAUCUUUUUAAUAAAUGAGACUCCAAACUUUCGAGUAAAACUUUUUGGAGACGGUAAAAAAGAGAAAUGAAAAUAAAGAAUUUAUGACUCAAAUUAACCAAAUUUAUUCCUUCUCUUUCUGUCGGCAAUCAAGAAGGUUAGUAGGUAUCAACAAUUGAAGUCAGUCCAGGUAGAAAUUCAAUCAACUUAAGCAGUGUUAAACUUAUGCUUCAAAGUUUUUAUUCUUACUGUAAUCAGUUUAUUCAGUCAAAAUCCAAAAAAAUAAAAUAAAAUAAAAUAAUUUUUAGCCUUUUUAUAAAAAAAAUAAAAUAAAGAAAGCAGGGCAGGGCAGGGCAGGGCAUUAAUAUGAGCUAAACAAAAACUCAACUUGUUGUUUGUCCAUUUCAGACACAUACUACAUUUUAGGUAGUUUAGGCAAGCGGACCCCAUUGCUAUAAGUAUUGAAAUCACACCCAAUUCAUUCAUGACAAUAUCUCAUAUGGUAAGAUACUAGUAGUAUAAUUAAUUGAUGGACUCUUUUUCCAAAUUUAUUGUUUUGUAUAAUUUGGCAUAAAGUUUAAUAAUACAAAACUCAUUAUAGAAAGAUUAUGUGCAACUGGAUUUACUAUUAAAUAAUUAAAUAUACAAAUUUGGGAUUAUCUUUUCAGAUAAUAUUAAUUGUUUCUUUACCUACUUACUACAAACAAAAUUUACCAUUAAAGAUAGAAAAAUAGAACAAAUGCCAGGUCCCUUUUGUUUUUGUUUUAUUUCCUUUCCUUUGUAGCAUAAUUUUGCUUCAAAAAAGUGAGAGAAUUUCAAUGUUACUUCGAAUUUGAUAACCAGCGGCAAGUGGAUACAUGUAUACAUGUGGAUGUGGGAUGUGGGAUGUGGGAUGGGGGCGGGGGGGUUAUAGAAGAGAAGAGGGACAUAAAUAUUUGGAGGCUGGAGCUAAUAGUUAGUUAUAGUAGCUCUAGGCUCAGCUCCAUAAGGGAUAGUUUGAAGGUUUAAUGGGGUAGGAGAAGAUGAAACAAUUCCAACUGGAAUAUAUAGCCUAAAGGUAGUCAAGUAUUUCAUACAUAACUUUCAAAUCGUUGUAGACUUGUAGGUCCCUUUUCAUUGGGAGGCCCUAUUUAAAAGCUUCUUUCCCCAAAGGGCCCAAACCAAAGAAGAUCAAGAACAUAAAAGGAUCCCAAGUCAUCGUAUCACAUACAAGAUUUCUUAGUUACUUGCAUUGGUCCAAAACACUUUAAACAACCCCCAAAAGAGGGACCUUUUUACAUUGUAUCUAGUACUGGUGUGGUGGGGUGGGGGUGGGGUAAAAAGUUCUUUUUAACUACUCAAACUGUAAAGGAGUCCUCUAGCUCAUUCUUUUUCACAUUAUAUACUGAGCGUGCACAGAUAGUUGCAUGCAACAUUAGGGGAUGUCAAAGAAUUCCCAUCCAGCAUCCACAAACUCCUUACGAGCUGUGGGC
RNAcentral lists this long non-coding RNA (2388 nucleotides) under Panax ginseng (ginseng). RNAcentral's name for it is "long non-coding RNA (PGIN_LNC016768)". The record is from RNAcentral. Lineage: Eukaryota; Viridiplantae; Streptophyta; Magnoliopsida; Apiales; Araliaceae.